Molecule: small nucleolar RNA, 104 nt
Filed under: Trichophyton rubrum BMU01672
Lineage: Eukaryota; Fungi; Ascomycota; Eurotiomycetes; Onygenales; Arthrodermataceae
Description: CD-box snoRNA
Source: RNAcentral
CCUUGGUGAUGAUUUGUACAACCGCUUAAACUAGAGUCUUUGAUCUUCUUCAGAAGAGAUGAAACUCCAAAAUUGCACACGUCAGUCUGAAUUGUAUUUGACUA